AACUGAUACUACCUGCGGGAACCUGCGGAAGGAUCAUUAACGAGUUUUGAAGUGGGAUUGAUGCUGGCCUUCCGAGGCAUGUGCUCGUCCUCGCUCAUCCACUCACAACACCUGUGCACUGUUGAGGUGUGGCCCCCCUUCAAUGGAGUCGUUCCCCCCUAGGGGGUCGAGCCGGGGUCAGGCCUUCUUCGUCACAAACAACUUGUAAUGUCUAUUCGGAAUGUAAUGCUUCAUGUUAAU
This 240-nucleotide unclassified non-coding RNA is filed under the name soil metagenome. Its description in RNAcentral is "partial contains 5.8S ribosomal RNA, internal transcribed spacer 2, and large subunit ribosomal RNA". The record is from RNAcentral.